RNAcentral lists this ribosomal RNA (135 nucleotides) under Triticum aestivum (bread wheat). Its description in RNAcentral is "partial small subunit ribosomal RNA". The record is from RNAcentral. Lineage: Eukaryota; Viridiplantae; Streptophyta; Magnoliopsida; Poales; Poaceae.
AUGUCGGUCGAUGGUGUGAAAACACUUCCUGAUGUCGAAUUCCAAAAACCAGCGAGAGGUUCCCCACUCUUCUUUGAUCCGUCUGAGGGCCGAGUGGCAGCCUCGACCCGAGCGGAAGUGCGAUGUGUCUGGAAA